Molecule: long non-coding RNA, 444 nt
Filed under: Mus spretus (western wild mouse)
Lineage: Eukaryota; Metazoa; Chordata; Mammalia; Rodentia; Muridae
Description: lncRNA (ENSMSPG00010049385.1)
Source: RNAcentral
CUCAUUUGACUUCAACACUUACAGAAUUGACUACUCAGAAAAGAGAGAGCUGUCUCUCAGGGAAAUAUGGAAAAGCAAUACUCCACAAACCUCAAGGGCAAGAAGAGUUCCUCCAAAGUUGUCUGAGUAUGGAUGCACUCCAUUACUAGCCAUCUGUGAGGCGAUCAAUACAGCAACACAGAAAGGACAGAGGAUUAGAAGUCUAACCUCCUGGCAAGCUACACCUGCUACAAUGCUGACUUCACCUCGUCAGACUCUGAUGUCACCUCUCCAGAUGCUGCCAUCCUCACCUACAAGAUAAGGAAGACCAACAACAUAAUCUCAAAUGUUCCAUGAAGUUCUAAAGUGGCAAGGUCCUGUUUUAGGCACGUGAAAUUAGACGGCUAAACAUUGUGCUUUCUAAAAUCCUCCCUUGUCCUAACAUUUCAAAGCUUCAUAAACAUA